CAUCUAAGUACCCCGAGGAAAAGAAAUCAACCGAGAUUCCCCCAGUAGCGGCGAGCGAACGGGGAGCAGCCCAGAGCCUGAAUCAGUGUGUGUGUUAGUGGAAGCGUCUGGAAAGGCGCGUGAUACAGGGUGACAGCCCCGUACACAAAAAUGCACAUGCUGUGAGCUCGAUGAGUAGGGCGGGACACGUGGUAUCCUGUCUGAAUAUGGGGGGACCAUCCUCCAAGGCUAAAUACUCCUGACUGACCGAUAGUGAACCAGUACCGUGAGGGAAAGGCGAAAAGAACCCCGGCGAGGGGAGUGAAAAAGAACCUGAAACCGUGUACGUACAAGCAGUGGGAGCACGCUUAGGCGUGUGACUGCGUACCUUUUGUAUAAUGGGUCAGCGACUUAUAUUCUGUAGCAAGGUUAACCGAAUAGGGGAGCCGAAGGGAAACCGAGUCUUAACUGGGCGUUAAGUUGCAGGGUAUAGACCCGAAACCCGGUGAUCUAGCCAUGGGCAGGUUGAAGGUUGGGUAACACUAACUGGAGGACCGAACCGACUAAUGUUGAAAAAUUAGCGGAUGACUUGUGGCUGGGGGUGAAAGGCCAAUCAAACCGGGAGAUAGCUGGUUCUCCCCGAAAGCUAUUUAGGUAGCGCCUCGUGAAUUCAUCUCCGGGGGUAGAGCACUGUUUCGGCAAGGGGGUCAUCCCGACUUACCAACCCGAUGCAAACUGCGAAUACCGGAGAAUGUUAUCACGGGAGACACACGGCGGGUGCUAACGUCCGUCGUGAAGAGGGAAACAACCCAGACCGCCAGCUAAGGUCCCAAAGUCAUGGUUAAGUGGGAAACGAUGUGGGAAGGCCCAGACAGCCAGGAUGUUGGCUUAGAAGCAGCCAUCAUUUAAAGAAAGCGUAAUAGCUCACUGGUCGAGUCGGCCUGCGCGGAAGAUGUAACGGGGCUAAACCAUGCACCGAAGCUGCGGCAGCGACGCUUAUGCGUUGUUGGGUAGGGGAGCGUUCUGUAAGCCUGUGAAGGUGUACUGUGAGGUAUGCUGGAGGUAUCAGAAGUGCGAAUGCUGACAUAAGUAACGAUAAAGCGGGUGAAAAGCCCGCUCGCCGGAAGACCAAGGGUUCCUGUCCAACGUUAAUCGGGGCAGGGUGAGUCGACCCCUAAGGCGAGGCCGAAAGGCGUAGUCGAUGGGAAACAGGUUAAUAUUCCUGUACUUGGUGUUACUGCGAAGGGGGGACGGAGAAGGCUAUGUUGGCCGGGCGACGGUUGUCCCGGUUUAAGCGUGUAGGCUGGUUUUCCAGGCAAAUCCGGAAAAUCAAGGCUGAGGCGUGAUGACGAGGCACUACGGUGCUGAAGCAACAAAUGCCCUGCUUCCAGGAAAAGCCUCUAAGCAUCAGGUAACAUCAAAUCGUACCCCAAACCGACACAGGUGGUCAGGUAGAGAAUACCAAGGCGCUUGAGAGAACUCGGGUGAAGGAACUAGGCAAAAUGGUGCCGUAACUUCGGGAGAAGGCACGCUGAUAUGUAGGUGAAGUCCCUCGCGGAUGGAGCUGAAAUCAGUCGAAGAUACCAGCUGGCUGCAACUGUUUAUUAAAAACACAGCACUGUGCAAACACGAAAGUGGACGUAUACGGUGUGACGCCUGCCCGGUGC
This 1646-nucleotide ribosomal RNA is filed under the name Escherichia coli. RNAcentral's name for it is "partial 23S ribosomal RNA". It matches the Rfam family "Bacterial large subunit ribosomal RNA", at positions 199 to 1869 of the family's 2925-position model. Lineage: Bacteria; Pseudomonadati; Pseudomonadota; Gammaproteobacteria; Enterobacterales; Enterobacteriaceae. The record is from RNAcentral.